RNAcentral lists this ribosomal RNA (462 nucleotides) under uncultured bacterium. Its description in RNAcentral is "bacterial SSU rRNA". It matches the Rfam family "Bacterial small subunit ribosomal RNA", at positions 28 to 501 of the family's 1533-position model. The record is from RNAcentral.
GAUGAACGCUGGCGGCGUGCUUAACACAUGCAAGUCGAACGGGAUCCAUCAGGCUUUGCUUGGUGGUGAGAGUGGCGAACGGGUGAGUAAUGCGUGACCGACCUGCCCCAUACACCGGAAUAGCUCCUGGAAACGGGUGGUAAUGCCGGAUGCUCCAGUUGAUCGCGUGGUCUUCUGGGAAAGCUUUCGCGGUAUGGGAUGGGGUCGCGUCCUAUCAGCUUGACGGCGGGGUAACGGCCCACCGUGGCUUCGACGGGUAGCCGGCCUGAGAGGGCGACCGGCCACAUUGGGACUGAGAUACGGCCCAGACUCCUACGGGAGGCAGCAGUGGGGAAUAUUGCACAAUGGGCGCAAGCCUGAUGCAGCGACGCCGCGUGAGGGAUGGAGGCCUUCGGGUUGUAAACCUCUUUUAUCGGGGAGCAAGCGAGAGUGAGUUUACCCGUUGAAUAAGCACCGGCUAAC